AACUGUCAGCUAAGUGGUGAUCGAUAAUGUUGAGGGGUCAAAAGUUAAUUCAGUUAUGUUGUGUGACCUGUGAGUGUGUUAGUGAGUUAGAAUGAACUUUUAACCUCACUUGAUUCUAGGUCGGGAGGAGGGGAUUCAUUUUAGGAGCAAUGAAAUGAUGUCAUGUUAUUGUAUAUAAACUGUUGCUCGUGGUAAUGUGGGAGCGCGCACUGUGUAGCAUUCAUAGAAGUGGAAGUGUGGUCUGGCCUCUGAUGUGUUCUCUGGGAGAGGGUGGGGCUUUACAGGAGUGUCAGUGUACCUGUGUAAUGGGGGAGGGUGUCCGUAUGGGGAUUACAUGAUAACCAACUUGGGACAGUUCUGGGAUUGGAGAAGAGGGUAUCCUUAUAGCAUAGGGGAUCCCACAAAGGUGGACAGGUUUUCCACGAUAUGGGGGAAACCUGGGAGCACUGUUGAACUCUGUAAAGGUGAUGACAUCCUACUAACCAUCAAAACUAUUAAGCUCUCUGAUGCAGGCACUUACACCCUCGGACUACAAAGGACCGGGACAGACACGAUGGGUGUGUUUUCUAUUAAGGUGCUGCCAAAACCACAGAGGUCCCAGACAAACCAGAGCCAGACACACUCCUCUACCACCCCUGGACUGAACCUGCCACCACUGUGUCAAAUCUCAUUCAGGUAAUUAACAUUAGAGACUAUUCAGCUUUUGAUCAAUUAGGCACUGAGACUGGUUUUGAUGGUAGGGACAAUUUGUGGCUGUCUUAUAUGAGGUACACAGCUAAAACCCUGAGAAGAAAGGACUGCAUUAUUUGUAGUCAUGCUAGACCUGUUUUGGCUACACACUCAUUUACUGUAGGAGAAGGAGAGGGGUGGUUGUGUAUUCUGAGAGGUUUUUACCAGGUUCAGCCCAAUUCAACUCUCUGUUCCUCUUUGAGCCUUGUGUUUCCUACAGUACCUCCUCAUCGGGUCCCUUCGGGUGUUAAGGCAUAUGGGGGCAAUUACAGUUGCAUCACAGGUACAGGUAAUGGCAUUGAUUAUGGGAGAUUGCCUGAAGAUGAUUGCAGUAGUAACAUAACCAUUAAUGCCACUUGGCCAGUUACAGGCCUAAACCAAACUAGUGGUCUGGCUGAUGUGUGGUGGAUCUGUGGACCCAAGAGAGUGCUGAGACCCAUUCUUAGAGGAGACUGGCAAGGUACGUGUGCUCUGACCAGUUUGAUAAUUCCACUGACCAUUGUUGAUGUUACUGCUGAGCAGCUGUUGGGUUCUGUAUCCAGGAGACCUGAAAACAUUCCAUCCCAUGGGAGACAUAGACGUAGUGCUCCAGGACAGAGGAUGUAGUUGGCAUACACACUAACCUGUUGGGAGUGCCAGUGGGGGUUCCUCAUGAGUUUCAGGCCUUGGGUAGGAAUGAUGGACUCUGGCACUUACUACCUAUUAUGGGUCCAGCCAUAGUGGAUACUACAGACUGCAUGGAUUAAUUACAUCUACUAUAAUCAACAGCGUUUUGUGAAUUACUCCCGUGAUGCACUCACUGGUAUGUCUGAACAGCUUGAGGCCACAUCUAGGGUUUCCAGAAUAUACUUGCUUUGGAUAUGCUUUUUGCCAGUCAGGGGGGUGUCUGCAAGAUGUUCGGUGAACAAUGUUACACGUUUAUUCCUAAUAACACCAGUCCAGAUGGUAGUAUAUCUAAGGCCCUUAGUGGGCUUGAUGCACUAUCUGCUGAGAUGAGGACCAUGGCGGGGGUGGAGGAGUCUGGACUGUUCUCUUGGUUGGGAGCCUGGUUUGGUAAGUACACUGGCAUGGUGGUUACUGGAUUUCUGACCCAAAUUCUUGUAUUUUUGUUAUUGAUGGUAUGAUGCAAGCAGCACAACACGUGUUUUAAGAAGUCUGUUACAGAUGUGGUGAAGGCUUCAGGCAUGAUGCCUUUGCUUGAUGCUCCAGUUGGAGAUGCUGAUACUGAAUCAAGCUUUCAGGGGAGGAUGGGACUGACUGAGGAUGACCCAUGUAUGUUUGUUCUCCCUGUUGUGAAGGUUUGGAGUCCCUGGGUGGCAUGGUGCCCACCUGGUGCAGGAUAGGAGUAGCUGAGAGGACCAGAUGGUUUAUAAUAAUGCUUUGCUCUGCUUUACUCUGUUUUCCAUGACCAAAGUUUUAUCCUACAUCUUACAUGUCAAUAAACAAAGUCUUAUCCUGU
This is a long non-coding RNA of Oncorhynchus tshawytscha (Chinook salmon), 2188 nucleotides long. RefSeq lists it as uncharacterized. The transcript is spliced from 2 exons. The record is from RefSeq and is a predicted model, not a curated record. Lineage: Eukaryota; Metazoa; Chordata; Actinopteri; Salmoniformes; Salmonidae.